UACGUAGGGGGCUAGCGUUAUCCAGAUUUACUGGGCGUAAAGCGCGCGCAGGCGGUCCUUUAAGUCUGAUGUGAAAGCCCACGGCUCAACCGUGGAGGGUCAUUGGAAACUGGGGGACUUGAGUGCAGGAGAGAAAAGUGGAAUUCCACGUGUAGCGGUGAAAUGCGUAGAGAUGUGGAGGAACACCAGUGGCGAAGGCGACACGCUGGGCCGUACCUGACACUGAUGCGCGACAGCAUGGGGAGCAAACAGG
RNAcentral lists this ribosomal RNA (253 nucleotides) under uncultured bacterium. RNAcentral's name for it is "partial 16S ribosomal RNA". It matches the Rfam family "Bacterial small subunit ribosomal RNA", at positions 524 to 776 of the family's 1533-position model. The record is from RNAcentral.